Molecule: ribosomal RNA, 1434 nt
Filed under: uncultured organism
Description: partial small subunit ribosomal RNA
Rfam family: Bacterial small subunit ribosomal RNA
Source: RNAcentral
GGCGUGCUUAACACAUGCAAGUCGAACGGAAAGGCCCUGCUUUUGUGGGGUGCUCGAGUGGCGAACGGGUGAGUAACACGUGAGUAACCUGCCCUUGACUUUGGGAUAACUUCAGGAAACUGGGGCUAAUACCGGAUAGGAGCUCCUGCUGCAUGGUGGGGGUUGGAAAGUUUCGGCGGUUGGGGAUGGACUCGCGGCUUAUCAGCUUGUUGGUGGGGUAGUGGCUUACCAAGGCUUUGACGGGUAGCCGGCCUGAGAGGGUGACCGGCCACAUUGGGACUGAGAUACGGCCCAGACUCCUACGGGAGGCAGCAGUGGGGAAUAUUGCACAAUGGGCGGAAGCCUGAUGCAGCAACGCCGCGUGCGGGAUGACGGCCUUCGGGUUGUAAACCGCUUUCGCCUGUGACGAAGCGUGAGUGACGGUAAUGGGUAAAGAAGCACCGGCUAACUACGUGCCAGCAGCCGCGGUGAUACGUAGGGUGCGAGCGUUGUCCGGAUUUAUUGGGCGUAAAGGGCUCGUAGGUGGUUGAUCGCGUCGGAAGUGUAAUCUUGGGGCUUAACCCUGAGCGUGCUUUCGAUACGGGUUGACUUGAGGAAGGUAGGGGAGAAUGGAAUUCCUGGUGGAGCGGUGGAAUGCGCAGAUAUCGGGAGGAACACCAGUGGCGAAGGCGGUUCUCUGGGCCUUUCCUGACGCUGAGGAGCGAAAGCGUGGGGAGCGAACAGGCUUAGAUACCCUGGUAGUCCACGCUGUAAACGGUGGGUACUAGGUGUGGGGUCCAUUCCACGGGUUCCGUGCCGUAGCUAACGCUUUAAGUACCCCGCCUGGGGAGUACGGCCGCAAGGCUAAAACUCAAAGGAAUUGACGGGGCCCCGCACAAGCGGCGGAGCAUGCGGAUUAAUUCGAUGCAACGCGUAGAACCUUACCUGGGUUUGACAUGGAUCGGGAGUGCUCAGAGAUGGGUGUGCCUCUUUUGGGGUCGGUUCACAGGUGGUGCAUGGCUGUCGUCAGCUCGUGUCGUGAGAUGUUGGGUUAAGUCCCGCAACGAGCGCAACCCUUGUUCACUGUUGCCAGCACGUUAUGGUGGGGACUCAGUGGAGACCGCCGGGGUCAACUCGGAGGAAGGUGGGGAUGACGUCAAGUCAUCAUGCCCCUUAUGUCCAGGGCUUCACGCAUGCUACAAUGGCUGGUACAGAGAGUGGCGAGCCUGUGAGGGUGAGCGAAUCUCGGAAAGCCGGUCUCAGUUCGGAUUGGGGUCUGCAACUCGACCUCAUGAAGUCGGAGUCGCUAGUAAUCGCAGAUCAGCAACGCUGCGGUGAAUACGUUCCCGGGGCUUGUACACACCGCCCGUCAAGUCAUGAAAGUUGGUAACACCCGAAGCCGGUGGCCUAACCGUUGUGGGGGAGCCGUCGAAGGUGGGACUGGUGAUUAGGACU